GAUGAACGCUGGCGGCGUGCCUAAUACAUGCAAGUCGAGCGAACAGACGAGGAGCUUGCUCCUCUGACGUUAGCGGCGGACGGGUGAGUAACACGUGGAUAACCUACCUAUAAGACUGGGAUAACUUCGGGAAACCGGAGCUAAUACCGGAUAAUAUAUUGAACCGCAUGGUUCAAUAGUGAAAGACGGUUUUGCUGUCACUUAUAGAUGGAUCCGCGCCGCAUUAGCUAGUUGGUAAGGUAACGGCUUACCAAGGCAACGAUGCGUAGCCGACCUGAGAGGGUGAUCGGCCACACUGGAACUGAGACACGGUCCAGACUCCUACGGGAGGCAGCAGUGGGAAUCUUCCGCAAUGGGCGAAAGCUUGACGGAGCAACGCCGCGUGAGUGAUGAAGGUCUUCGGAUCGUAAAACUCUGUUAUUAGGGAAGAACAAAUGUGUAAGUAACUAUGCACGUCUUGACGGUACCUAAUCAGAAAGCCACGGCUAACUACGUG
Molecule: ribosomal RNA, 496 nt
Filed under: uncultured bacterium
Lineage: Bacteria
Description: partial 16S ribosomal RNA
Rfam family: Bacterial small subunit ribosomal RNA
Source: RNAcentral